AGUGGCACAGAGAGGGUGAGCAGGGGCAGAGUGGCACAGAGAGGGUGAGCAGGGGGCAGAGUGGCACAGAGAGGGUGAGCAGGGAGCGUUUCAGUGUUUUUCUCUGGGCAGGCUGAUGGUGCCUUUCUCUGGGCCUAAAAUUCCUAAAAGUUUGGUAUUUGAUUUUUUAAAAGUUCUUCCUAGUUUCUGACCCCCACACACCCACCCCCUCCAGUCCCUGGGCCCCAGUUCCUGAGACUGUGUCAGAUCCCAGCCUCUUGCCUCUGCCCAUCGGGCCCAGCCCGGGAUGCCCUGCUGUCCUGCUGUCCUUGACGUGGCGUUGCGGGGCAGGUCUGUUCCAGGAGAAGCCCCACAGCCUGCAGAACAACAUCCGGACGUCCCUGGAGAAGAAGAGGCGAGGCUCGGGGGUUCCCUGGGCCAGCCGGCCUGAGGCCACCCUGCAGGAUUUCCUGGGCACCGUGUACCUCUCUAAAGUGAAGAGUCAAGGCCACCCCGCUGUCUACAGGCUCUCCCUCAAUGCCAGCCUGCCUGCUCCUUGGCAGGCUGUGUCACCUGGGGAUGGAGAGGUGCCCUCCUUCCAGGUGAGCCUGGGCUAUCGUGAAGCGAGCCACCACCACUGGGGGCGGGGGGGCCCUCAGGGCCACACUGGUGGGCACUGGCCACAUAGGGAGAAGCAGCUUUGAGGAUGAAGACCCCCCUGCCCCAAACCAGCCUUGUCUGUGACAGGAACCUGCCAAGUGGUGGCAGCAUGGGCUUCUGAGUCAGCCAGGCCUGGAUUCAAAUCGUGGCUCUGCCAUUUAUUAACUGUGUGUCUUUGGGCAGAUUGCUUACUCUCUGAGCCUCAGUUUCUUCAUCCGUGACAUGGGGAUGUGACAAGCACCAGCCAGCAUUGUUGGAGGUGUGUGAGGUGAGGCCUGUGCAGUGCAGUGAGGCCUGGGUACAGUCCCUCCUCGGGCAGUGGCGGCCAGGAAUCUUGCUGUCCUUGGUAGCUGCUCCAGCACCGC
Molecule: long non-coding RNA, 1004 nt
Filed under: Cercocebus atys (sooty mangabey)
Lineage: Eukaryota; Metazoa; Chordata; Mammalia; Primates; Cercopithecidae
Description: lncRNA (ENSCATG00000045397.1)
Source: RNAcentral